AGCGAACGCUGGCGGCAGGCCUAACACAUGCAAGUCGAACGAACCUUUCGGGGUUAGUGGCGGACGGGUGAGUAACACGUGGGAACGUGCCUUUAGGUUCGGAAUUACUCAGGGAAACUUGUGCUAAUACCGAAUGUGCCCUUCGGGGGAAAGAUUUAUCGCCUUUAGAGCGGCCCGCGUCUGAUUAGCUAGUUGGUUGAGGUAAUGGCUCACCAAGGCGACGAUCAGUAGCUGGUCUGAGAGGAUGAUCAGCCACAUUGGGACUGAGACACGGCCCAAACUCCUACGGGAGGCAGCAGUGGGGAAUCUUGCGCAAUGGGCGAAAGCCUGACGCAGCCAUGCCGCGUGAAUGAUGAAGGUCUUAGGAUUGUAAAAUUCUUUCACCGGGGACGAUAAUGACGGUACCCGGAGAAGAAGCCCCGGCUAACUUCGUG
Molecule: ribosomal RNA, 434 nt
Filed under: uncultured bacterium
Lineage: Bacteria
Description: partial 16S ribosomal RNA
Rfam family: Bacterial small subunit ribosomal RNA
Source: RNAcentral